RNAcentral lists this transfer RNA (73 nucleotides) under Chloroflexi bacterium CSP1-4. Its description in RNAcentral is "tRNA-Arg". It matches the Rfam family "tRNA". Rfam says of the family: Transfer RNA (tRNA) molecules are approximately 80 nucleotides in length. Their secondary structure includes four short double-helical elements and three loops (D, anti-codon, and T loops). The record is from RNAcentral. Lineage: Bacteria; Bacillati; Chloroflexota.
GCGCUCGUAGCUCAGCGGAUAGAGCGUCUGCCUCCGGAGCAGAAGGCCGUGGGUUCGAGUCCCGCCGAGCGCG